AGAGAUGCACUGGGCGUAAAGCGUGCGCAGGCGGUUUUGUAAGACAGAGGUGAAAUCCCCGGGCUCAACCUGGGAACUGCCUUUGUGACUGCAAGGCUGGAGUGCGGCAGAGGGGGAUGGAAUUCCGCGUGUAGCAGUGAAAUGCGUAGAUAUGCGGAGGAACACCGAUGGCGAAGGCAAUCCCCUGGGCCUGCACUGACGCUCAUGCACGAAAGCGUGGGGGAGCAAACA
This 231-nucleotide ribosomal RNA is filed under the name uncultured Alicycliphilus sp. RNAcentral describes it as "partial 16S ribosomal RNA". It matches the Rfam family "Bacterial small subunit ribosomal RNA", at positions 548 to 774 of the family's 1533-position model. The record is from RNAcentral. Lineage: Bacteria; Pseudomonadati; Pseudomonadota; Betaproteobacteria; Burkholderiales; Comamonadaceae.